GACGAACGCUGGCGGCGUGCUUAACACAUGCAAGUCGAACGGAAAGGCCCUGCUUGCAGGGUACUCGAGUGGCGAACGGGUGAGUAACACGUGGGUGAUCUGCCCUGCACUUCGGGAUAAGCCUGGGAAACUGGGUCUAAUACCGGAUAGGAGCCAUUUUUAGUGUGAUGGUUGGAAAGUUUUUUCGGUGUAGGAUGAGCUCGCGGCCUAUCAGCUUGUUGGUGGGGUAAUGGCCUACCAAGGCGGCGACGGGUAGCCGGCCUGAGAGGGUGGACGGCCACAUUGGGACUGAGAUAAGGCCCAGACUCCUACGGGAGGCAGCAGUGGGGAAUAUUGCACAAUGGGCGCAAGCCUGAUGCAGCGACGCCGCGUGGGGGAUGACGGCCUUCGGGUUGUAAACUCCUUUCGCUAGGGACGAAGCUUUUUGUGACGGUACCUAGAGAAGAAGCACCGGCUAACUACGUG
RNAcentral lists this ribosomal RNA (465 nucleotides) under uncultured bacterium. Its description in RNAcentral is "partial 16S ribosomal RNA". It matches the Rfam family "Bacterial small subunit ribosomal RNA", at positions 28 to 507 of the family's 1533-position model. The record is from RNAcentral.